This 84-nucleotide transfer RNA is filed under the name Bacteroidota bacterium. RNAcentral describes it as "Bacteroidetes bacterium (sediment metagenome) tRNA-Leu". It matches the Rfam family "tRNA". Rfam says of the family: Transfer RNA (tRNA) molecules are approximately 80 nucleotides in length. RNAcentral also lists the same sequence under 1 other name. Lineage: Bacteria; Pseudomonadati; Bacteroidota. The record is from RNAcentral.
GCCCGGGUGGUGGAAUGGUAGACACGCAGGACUUAAAAUCCUGUGGCCGUUGAGGCCGUACGGGUUCGAGUCCCGUCCCGGGCA